GGUGGCAGAGUGAGGGGGAGACACAGUGAGUGGGGGUGACUGGUGACAGAGUGAGGGAGUGGGUGACUAGUGACAGAGGGAAGGAGAGGGGGAGACUAGUGACAGAGUGAGGGAAUGGGUGACUAGUGGCAGAGUGAGGGAGGGAAGAGAUGACUAGUGGCAAAGUGAGGGAGGGAAGGGGUGACUAGUGACAGAGUGAGGGGGGGCUGACUGUCACUAGUCACCCCAUCCCUCUCUCUGUCACUAGUCACUCCCUCCCUAACUCUGUCACUGUGUCACCCGCUCCCUCACUCUGUCACUAGUCACCCCCUUACUCUGUCACUCCCUCCCUCUGUCACUGUGUCACCCGCUCGCUCACUCUGUCACUAGUCACCCCCUUACUCUGUCACUGUGUCACCCCCUCCCUCUGUCAC
Pelobates cultripes (western spadefoot toad) is the source of this 413-nucleotide non-coding RNA. The record is from the annotation of a GenBank genome assembly. NCBI's taxonomy places the organism in Eukaryota, Metazoa, Chordata, Amphibia, Anura, Pelobatidae.